RNAcentral lists this ribosomal RNA (468 nucleotides) under uncultured bacterium. RNAcentral's name for it is "partial 16S ribosomal RNA". It matches the Rfam family "Bacterial small subunit ribosomal RNA", at positions 28 to 507 of the family's 1533-position model. The record is from RNAcentral.
GACGAACGCUGGCGGCGUGCUUAACACAUGCAAGUCGAACGGAAAGGCCCUGCUUUUGUGGGGUGCUCGAGUGGCGAACGGGUGAGUAACACGUGAGUAACCUGCCCUUGACUUUGGGAUAACUUCAGGAAACUGGGGCUAAUACCGGAUAGGAGCUCCUGCUGCAUGGGGGGGGUUGGAAAGUUUCGGCGGGUGGGGAUGGACUCGCGGCUUGUCAGCUUGUUGGUGGGGUAGUGGCUUACCAAGGCUUUGACGGGUAGCCGGCCGGAGAGGGUGACCGGCCACAUUGGGACUGGGAUACGGCCCAGACUCCUACGGGAGGCAGCAGUGGGGAAUAUUGCACAAUGGGCGGAAGCCUGAUGCAGCAACGCCGCGUGCGGGAUGACGGCCUUCGGGUUGUAAACCGCUUUGGCCUGGGACGAAGCGUGAGUGACGGUAAUGGGUAAAGAAGCACCGGCUAACUACGUG